CCUACGGGGGGCAGCAGUGGGGAAUAUUGCACAAUGGGCGCAAGCCUGAUGCAGCCAUGCCGCGUGUGUGAAGAAGGCCUUCGGGUUGUAAAGCACUUUCAGCGGGGAGGAAGGCGUUAAGGUUAAUAACCUCGGCGAUUGACGUUACCCGCAGAAGAAGCACCGGCUAACUCCGUGCCAGCAGCCGCGGUAAUACGGAGGGUGCAAGCGUUAAUCGGAAUUACUGGGCGUAAAGCGCACGCAGGCGGUCUGUCAAGUCGGAUGUGAAAUCCCCGGGCUCAACCUGGGAACUGCAUUCGAAACUGGCAGGCUAGAGUCUUGUAGAGGGGGGUAGAAUUCCAGGUGUAGCGGUGAAAUGCGUAGAGAUCUGGAGGAAUACCGGUGGCGAAGGCGGCCCCCUGGACAAAGACUGACGCUCAGGUGCGAAAGCGUGGGGAGCAAACAGGAUUAGAUACCCUUGUAGUC
RNAcentral lists this ribosomal RNA (465 nucleotides) under uncultured Klebsiella sp. RNAcentral describes it as "bacterial SSU rRNA". It matches the Rfam family "Bacterial small subunit ribosomal RNA", at positions 338 to 795 of the family's 1533-position model. The record is from RNAcentral. Lineage: Bacteria; Pseudomonadati; Pseudomonadota; Gammaproteobacteria; Enterobacterales; Enterobacteriaceae.